UACGUAGGGGGCAAGCGUUGUCCGGAAUCAUUGGGCGUAAAGAGCGUGUAGGCGGCUCGGUAAGUCCGCUGUGAAAGUCCAGGGCUCAACCCUGGAAGGCCGGUGGAAACUGCCGGGCUAGAGUCCGGAAGAGGCGAGUGGAAUUCCCGGUGUAGCGGUGAAAUGCGCAGAUAUCGGGAGGAACACCAAUGGCGAAGGCAGCUCGCUGGGACGGUACUGACGCUGAGACGCGAAAGCGUGGGGAGCAAACAGG
Molecule: ribosomal RNA, 253 nt
Filed under: uncultured bacterium
Lineage: Bacteria
Description: partial 16S ribosomal RNA
Rfam family: Bacterial small subunit ribosomal RNA
Source: RNAcentral